UACGAAGGGUGCUAGCGUUGUUCGGAAUUACUGGGCGUAAAGCGCGUGUAGGCGGCUAUGCAAGUCGGAUGUGAAAUCCCUCGGCUUAACCGGGGAACUGCGUCUGAGACUGAUGAGCUUGAGUGCAGGAGAGGAACGCGGAAUUCCAGGUGUAGCGGUGAAAUGCGUAGAUAUCUGGAGGAACACCGGUGGCGAAGGCGGCGUUCUGGACUGCAACUGACACUGAAAGACGAAAGCCAGGGGAGCAAACGGG
RNAcentral lists this ribosomal RNA (253 nucleotides) under uncultured bacterium. RNAcentral's name for it is "partial 16S ribosomal RNA". It matches the Rfam family "Bacterial small subunit ribosomal RNA", at positions 524 to 776 of the family's 1533-position model. The record is from RNAcentral.